RNAcentral lists this long non-coding RNA (490 nucleotides) under Homo sapiens (human). RNAcentral's name for it is "HSALNT0250409". The record is from RNAcentral. Lineage: Eukaryota; Metazoa; Chordata; Mammalia; Primates; Hominidae.
AGUGAUAAUUUAUUUUUUUCCCCCACUUCACCUUGAACUGAUUUUCUUUCCCCCACUUUGGGUAAUUUUGUCCAAUUUUUUAUCCAAGGACAGUUUUGACCUAAUUCCCAGAGUGGUAUGGAAGAGUCAUGUAGGCUGGAAAUUGAUAUUGACAAUCUGCCCAAAUGAUUACUGUAAAUCCAAAGGAGCAACUAAUUUUCAAUUUCUCAAACCUCCAAAUACUAGCUGGCUGAGGCUUAUCAAAUAAAAAAGAAACAAAAAGAAAAAAAAAAAAGGAAGAAGGAAAAACAUAGAAAAAGCCUUGAUUAGUUAACAACCAAAUAGCGCAACCUUGGGAGACUAAAAGUAUGUAUUACUUGAUGAGAGCUUCCCUUUGUUAGUUAAACUUAUUGGGUCUUCUUUAAAAGGGAAACUACACAAGAUUGAAAUAGAACAUAUGAAUGAUAACCAUAGGGAAUGGGGGUGAAUGCUUUUUACAUUUUUACACAAA